Hipposideros armiger (great roundleaf bat) is the source of this 440-nucleotide long non-coding RNA. RefSeq lists it as uncharacterized. The transcript is spliced from 3 exons. The record is from RefSeq and is a predicted model, not a curated record. Lineage: Eukaryota; Metazoa; Chordata; Mammalia; Chiroptera; Hipposideridae.
GCAGCGGCUCCUUUCCUCGCCGCCGCCGCCGCCUCCUGGCCUCCAGGGGAGAGGAUCGUGCCCAGAAGUGCUGAUGGUGGGAGUCAGGUUCUGUGCCUCUCGGGACUUGGGGGUCCGACUCAUACCCUCACUUGUUUAUUUAUCAAAUGUAGAUCGAGCCUACGUGCCCAAGCACGGGCUAGACAAUGGGGAGGGAAACGGGCAGUGAUUAAAAAAUGAACAAGGUCCUGCCAAGAGGAGUUCACAGUCUAGCGUGCCAGGCGGACCAGACUGGCUGAGGUGAUAUGUGAGCUGUGUGAACACGUGCUACAGGGGGCCUCAGCAAGCAUCCUGACCUGCAUACACAGCUGUGUGCACAUAUCCCAGUCUGAACAACUGUAUGUUGCACGAACUCUCCAAAUCCUGGAACACAAGCAACACCAGGACAGGAUUCAACCGAU